RNAcentral lists this ribosomal RNA (432 nucleotides) under uncultured bacterium. RNAcentral's name for it is "partial 16S ribosomal RNA". It matches the Rfam family "Bacterial small subunit ribosomal RNA", at positions 29 to 506 of the family's 1533-position model. The record is from RNAcentral.
AACGAACGCUGGCGGCAUGCCUAACACAUGCAAGUCGAACGAGACCUUCGGGUCUAGUGGCGCACGGGUGCGUAACGCGUGGGAACCUGCCCUUAGGUUCGGAAUAACUCCCCGAAAGGGGUGCUAAUACCGGAUAAUGUCUUCGGACCAAAGAUUUAUCGCCUUUGGAUGGGCCCGCGUUGGAUUAGCUAGUUGGUAGGGUAAAAGCCUACCAAGGCGACGAUCCAUAGCUGGUCUGAGAGGAUGAUCAGCCACACUGGGACUGAGACACGACCCAGACUCCUACGGGGGGCAGCAGGGGGGAAUAUUGGACAAGGGGCGAAAGCCUGAUCCAGCAAUGCCGGGGGAGUGAUGAAGGCCUUAGGGUUGUAAAGCUCUUUUCCCCGGGAUGAUAAUGACAGUACCGGGAGAAUAAGCUCCGGCUAACUCCGU